This 729-nucleotide ribosomal RNA is filed under the name Occidozyga cf. laevis KU 323827. RNAcentral's name for it is "partial large subunit ribosomal RNA". It matches the Rfam family "Bacterial large subunit ribosomal RNA", at positions 1535 to 2496 of the family's 2925-position model. The record is from RNAcentral. Lineage: Eukaryota; Metazoa; Chordata; Amphibia; Anura; Dicroglossidae.
ACCACAUAUUACUGCCAACCCACUAACAGUACUGAAUAAUUUCAUAAAUUAUGAAAACUACCAUGCUAGAACUAGUAACAAGAAAAUGAAUUUCUCCAAAGUGUAAACAUAGACCAAAACGGACAACCCAUUGGUAAUUAACGACUCUGAACCCAUUAUAGCAAAAUAUCUAGAAAACCCUAUACUUAAUACCGUUAACCUUACACAAGAACUCUUCUGGAAAGAUUAAAAGGAAGAGAAGGAACUCGGCAAAUUUUAACCCCGCCUGUUUACCAAAAACAUCGCCUCUUGCUUAGUUAUAAGAGGUCCCGCCUGCCCAGUGUUUCAAUCAACGGCCGCGUGAUCUAAACGCGCGAAGGUAGCAUAAUAAUUUGUUCUUUAAAUGAGGACUUGUAUCAAUGGCAUCACGAGGGUUAUACUGUCUCCUCUCCCCAAUCAGUGAAACUAAUCUCCCUGUGAAAAAGCAGGAAUAAAAACAUAAGACGAGAAGACCCCAUGGAGCUUAAAACAAGGCAGCAAUUCAAUAACAAAAUCAGAACAAUCUUAAGCCCUGUAUGCCAGUUUUAGGUUGGGGUGACCACGGAGCAAAGCAAAGCCUCCACAACGAGAAGGGAUUAUUCCCUUACCCAAGAGACACGCCUCUAAGAAUUAUUAAAAUAACGUCUAAUGAUCCGACUAUCGACCAAUGGACCAAGUUACCCUGGGGAUAACAGCGCAAUCCACUCUGAG